RNAcentral lists this ribosomal RNA (672 nucleotides) under Streptomyces sp. SID8382. RNAcentral describes it as "bacterial SSU rRNA". It matches the Rfam family "Bacterial small subunit ribosomal RNA", at positions 1 to 685 of the family's 1533-position model. Lineage: Bacteria; Bacillati; Actinomycetota; Actinomycetes; Kitasatosporales; Streptomycetaceae. The record is from RNAcentral. RNAcentral also lists the same sequence under 1 other name.
CAUUCACGGAGAGUUUGAUCCUGGCUCAGGACGAACGCUGGCGGCGUGCUUAACACAUGCAAGUCGAACGAUGAACCGGUUUCGGCCGGGGAUUAGUGGCGAACGGGUGAGUAACACGUGGGCAAUCUGCCCUGCACUCUGGGACAAGCCCUGGAAACGGGGUCUAAUACCGGAUAUGACGCGUUCCCGCAUGGGAUACGUGUGGAAAGCUCCGGCGGUGCAGGAUGAGCCCGCGGCCUAUCAGCUUGUUGGUGGGGUGAUGGCCUACCAAGGCGACGACGGGUAGCCGGCCUGAGAGGGCGACCGGCCACACUGGGACUGAGACACGGCCCAGACUCCUACGGGAGGCAGCAGUGGGGAAUAUUGCACAAUGGGCGCAAGCCUGAUGCAGCGACGCCGCGUGAGGGAUGACGGCCUUCGGGUUGUAAACCUCUUUCAGCAGGGAAGAAGCGUGAGUGACGGUACCUGCAGAAGAAGCGCCGGCUAACUACGUGCCAGCAGCCGCGGUAAUACGUAGGGCGCAAGCGUUGUCCGGAAUUAUUGGGCGUAAAGAGCUCGUAGGCGGCUUGUCGCGUCGGAUGUGAAAGCCCGGGGCUUAACUCCGGGUCUGCAUUCGAUACGGGCAGGCUAGAGUUCGGUAGGGGAGAUCGGAAUUCCUGGUGUAGCGGUGAA